This 492-nucleotide ribosomal RNA is filed under the name uncultured bacterium. Its description in RNAcentral is "partial 16S ribosomal RNA". It matches the Rfam family "Bacterial small subunit ribosomal RNA", at positions 29 to 507 of the family's 1533-position model. The record is from RNAcentral.
AGUGAACGCUGGCGGUAGGCCUAACACAUGCAAGUCGAACGGCAGCACAGUAAGAGCUUGCUCUUACGGGUGGCGAGUGGCGGACGGGUGAGGAAUACAUCGGAAUCUACUUUUUCGUGGGGGAUAACGUAGGGAAACUUACGCUAAUACCGCAUACGACCUACGGGUGAAAGCAGGGGAUCUUCGGACCUUGCGCGAUUGAAUGAGCCGAUGUCGGAUUAGCUAGUUGGCGGGGUAAAGGCCCACCAAGGCGACGAUCCGUAGCUGGUGUGAGAGGAUGAUCAGCCACACUGGAACUGAGACACGGUCCAGACUCCUGCGGGAGGCAGCAGUGGGGAAUAUUGGACAAUGGGCGCAAGCCUGAUCCAGCCAUACCGCGUGGGUGAAGAAGGCCUUCGGGUUGUAAAGCCCUUUUGUUGGGAAAGAAAAGCAGCAGGUUAAUACCCCGCUGUUCUGACGGUACCCAAAGAAUAAGCACCGGCUAACUUCGUG